AUGAGAUCAGUGACAAGAAUAAUUAUUCUCCUAACAUUGGGUAUUAUGAGUGAUUCUAAGACCACACAGCCAAAUGCAAUGGAGUGUGCUGAAGAAGAACCUGUGCACCUGCCCUGUAACCACUCCACAAUCAGUGGAAAUGAGUACAUAUAUUGGUAUCGACAGAUUCCCCACCAGGGUCCAGUGUAUAUGAUUCACGGCAUAAAAAACAAUGUGACCAAUGGAAUGCUGUCUCUGACCAUGACAACAGACCGAAAGUCCAGUACCUUGAUCCUGCCUCAGGUCACCCUGAGAGACGCUGCUGUGUACUACUGCAUUGUGAGAAAGGCACAUUGA
Non-coding RNA from Equus quagga, 336 nucleotides. The record is from the annotation of a RefSeq genome assembly. NCBI's taxonomy places the organism in Eukaryota, Metazoa, Chordata, Mammalia, Perissodactyla, Equidae.